This 1118-nucleotide long non-coding RNA is filed under the name Homo sapiens (human). RNAcentral describes it as "HSALNT0007802". The record is from RNAcentral. Lineage: Eukaryota; Metazoa; Chordata; Mammalia; Primates; Hominidae.
GCAGUUUGAUCUCAGACUGCCCUGCUAGCAAUCAGCGAGACUCCGUGGGUGUAGGACCCUCCAAGCCAGGUGCCGGAGAUAAUCUCGUGGUGCGCCGUUUUUUAAGCCCGUUGGAGAAGCGCAGUAUUCGGGUGGGAGUGACCCGAUUUUCCAGGUGCUGUCUGUCACCCCUUUCUUUGACUUGGAAAGGGAACUCCCUGACCCCUUGCGCUUCCCAAGUGAGGCAAUGCCUCGCCCUGCUUCGGCUCGCGCACAGUGCGCGCACCCACUGACCUGAGCCCACUCUCUGGCACUCCCUAGUGAGAUGAACCUGGUACCUCAGAUGGAAAUGCAGAAAUCACCUGUCUUCUGCCUCGCUCACACUGGGAGCUGUAGACCGGAGCUGUUCCUGUUCGGCCAUCUUGGCUCCUCCCGGAAGGUACAUUUUUAAAGCCCCUUUUCUGCACUACUCCUGGGGAAUGAAGCCUCUGAAAGUGCUUAUGCAUCCACAUAAAAUGGAGAACAGUAGCUUCCCUGGAAGAUGCCCUCCACUGGUGCCCAGUGCCUUUUGCAUGUAUAUCACCAGGCAAGACAAUAUAAACACCACAGUCUCCCACCUCAAAGAAGAAUGAAAAGAGGGAUUAUUUUAAUUCCUGCUGUCAUCCCUAAAAUUGGGGUCAUAUUUAUAGAGAAGAGAAAAAUCAAUAUAAGAUGAGAAAGAAGAAAACUGCAGAGAGAUCAUCUCUUCUGCCUCAAGCCAAUUACUGAAGAUGGUAAGAUGGGAGAGUGGCAGAGCCAGAAAAAGAAGCCGCCUUGACUCUGCCAAGCACUCACUCCUGCUGCCAACUCCAACUCUUUGUCUGCAGACAGUCUGUGCAGCCGACUAGGACCUGCCUCAAGCACCGCAUCUGCCCGGGGCUCUUUCCCAGUAUAGUUUCCUGCUCUCCAGCCCACCCCGGAGGAUGUCACUUUCAGAUCCCUCUCCCAGUCCUCCGCGACAGCUUCCUGUCAGUUGACUCUCCCCCACAAGUCUUUUUUGACAAAUCUCAGAGAUGCAACAGCUGGUCACCCUUCAAGACUUCCACAUGUCUCUGCUGCCACUUACACAGAUUUCUUUCUUCCUUAUUGAUUUUUUUUUU